RNAcentral lists this non-coding RNA (21 nucleotides) under Caenorhabditis elegans. The record is from RNAcentral. Lineage: Eukaryota; Metazoa; Nematoda; Chromadorea; Rhabditida; Rhabditidae.
UGUUCCGACAGUUCUUUUUGA